GAUGAACGCUAGCUACAGGCUUAACACAUGCAAGUCGAGGGGAAACGAUAGGGAAAGCUUGCUUUUCCUAGGCGUCGACCGGCGCACGGGUGAGUAACGCGUAUCCAACCUGCCCAUGUCUGGGGAAUAACCCGUCGAAAGGCGGACUAACUCCCCAUGGUCUCCGAUGAGGACAUCUGAAUUGGAGUAAAGCUUCGCGGACAUGGAUGGGGAUGCGUCUGAUUAGGUAGUAGGCGGGGUAACGGCCCACCUAGCCUACGAUCAGUAGGGGUUCUGAGAGGAAGGUCCCCCACAUUGGAACUGAGACACGGUCCAAACUCCUACGGGAGGCAGCAGUGAGGAAUAUUGGUCAAUGGACGAGAGUCUGAACCAGCCAAGUAGCGUGCAGGAUGACGGCCCUAUGGGUUGUAAACUGCUUUUGCGCGGGGAUAACACCCUCCACGUGCUGGAGGUCUGCAGGUACCGCGCGAAUAAGGACCGGC
RNAcentral lists this ribosomal RNA (482 nucleotides) under uncultured bacterium. RNAcentral's name for it is "bacterial SSU rRNA". It matches the Rfam family "Bacterial small subunit ribosomal RNA", at positions 28 to 497 of the family's 1533-position model. The record is from RNAcentral.